CGCCAGUAGCUCCUGCCCUCGGCCGCCGGCUUGGGCGCGUACAGUUCCUGCGGCCUCUCCACGGGCGCCAUGGCUUCGAGCUUCACUCCUCACCCUCACGCUUGGUUCGCGCCUUGGUGUGGACUGGAAAUGGAGGAAGGAGUGUGGUGAGCUGCAGCUCCAGCCUCCAGCCGUGUAGAUAUGUGGCCCAAGCGUGGGUUCGUCAGUGAGUGAGCCAAACGUCUUCCUUUGUAGUCUUGCGCUCGACGAGUCCCUGUCUUCAUUUGAGCUUGUGCAUACUUGCAUCGCAUGAGCCAUUUGGAAUUAUUGCUUUUCG
RNAcentral lists this long non-coding RNA (316 nucleotides) under Hordeum vulgare. RNAcentral's name for it is "long non-coding RNA (HVUL_LNC006821)". Lineage: Eukaryota; Viridiplantae; Streptophyta; Magnoliopsida; Poales; Poaceae. The record is from RNAcentral.